Long non-coding RNA from Mauremys reevesii (Reeves's turtle), 229 nucleotides. RefSeq lists it as uncharacterized. Lineage: Eukaryota; Metazoa; Chordata; Testudines; Geoemydidae. The record is from RefSeq and is a predicted model, not a curated record. The transcript is spliced from 3 exons.
AGAAAAGGUGUACCGCACAGUAGCAGCAGGAGGCGCUCAAGAGCUCCAUGAUCGUCCCCUGUGGCAAGAGAGGGAACAUGCUGGCCCCAUCAAUGGGUUAUGACCCAGAAGGCCCAGAGUGUGUCAAACACUUCAGGGUGUCCCUGCACAGGCGUGAUAUUGACUAGAAACAGACCAUGGAAAAAAGAAACUGACUUGUGCUCCCUCUGCUCCCAUACAGUAAAGACAC